RNAcentral lists this ribosomal RNA (505 nucleotides) under uncultured Glomeromycotina. RNAcentral's name for it is "partial small subunit ribosomal RNA". It matches the Rfam family "Eukaryotic small subunit ribosomal RNA", at positions 591 to 1091 of the family's 1831-position model. Lineage: Eukaryota; Fungi; Glomeromycota. The record is from RNAcentral.
CCAAUAGCGUAUAUUAAAGUUGUUGCAGUUAAAAAGCUCGUAGUUGAAUUUCGGGAUUGACACAUCGGUCGUGCCUUAAGGGGUAUGAACUGGUGUAGUCAAUUUCUCACCUUCUGGAGAACCGCGAUGCCCUUAAUUGGGUGUCGCGGGGAACCAGGACCUUUACUUUGAAAAAAUUAGAGUGUUUAAAGCAGGCAUUUUGCUUGAAUACAUUAGCAUGGAAUAAUAAAAUAGGACGGCAUGAUUCUAUUUUGUUGGUUUCUAGGAUCACCGUAAUGAUUAAUAGGGAUAGUUGGGGGCAUUAGUAUUCAAUUGUCAGAGGUGAAAUUCUUGGAUUUAUUGAAGACUAACUACUGCGAAAGCAUUUGCCAAGGAUGUUUUCAUUAAUCAAGAACGAAAGUUAGGGGAUCGAAGACGAUCAGAUACCGUCGUAGUCUUAACCAUAAACUAUGCCGACUAGGAAUCAGACGAUGUUAAUUUUUUAAUGACUCGUUUGGCACCUUAC